Molecule: RNA transcript, 830 nt
Organism: Gastrolobium bilobum
Lineage: Eukaryota; Viridiplantae; Streptophyta; Magnoliopsida; Fabales; Fabaceae
Exons: 5
Source: RefSeq, a predicted model, not a curated record
UACAAGCAACACUAGCAGCGACCCACUAAACCCUCUCAAAGCCCUAAAAUUUGGUGUUUUUUGUUUUCGUCUCUGAGAUUGGAUUCCGAUUGACACACAAAUGGCGUGGCGAUCUGGAUCUCUGUCUCGCUCUUUGAUGUCUUCAGCUAGGGCUUCACUCCGCCCGGCGGCACCCACUCCCCUUCCCCGCAUCCGUCCGCCGUCACUCAACGCACCUCGCAUCCAGUCCCGCCGCUUUUCCAUGCCUGCUUCCAUGAACAUGGGGCAAUUGGGUUGCGUACAAUCACUUUUACCUCUGCAUAGUGCGAUGGCUUUAACAUGUCUGACGUCACACAUUACUGUCAGUGCACGAGCUUGUUGCGAGCUGUCCCAUGGUAGGAAUGGAAAAGAUGGGUGAUGCGCAUGGACAUCGAUCCUCCAAUGGCAAGAGAAGAAUGCUGCAUAGUGAUCCUGACUCCUGAGGUACGUGAGGAAGCUGUUGGAUUUGCUUAGCUGCCUUCAAGAAUAUGGAGGACCAAUAAUUAUGGGGAGUUUUAUCUGCGAAGUAAUGGUUGUAGGAAUCUUGAAUGAGACUCUCAUUUGUUAUUCUAUUUUUAAUUUGGCUAUUUCUUAUUCAGGAGAGAAGAAUCUCUUUGUUCUUUCGAAAUCACAACAGCAGUCAAGAGUAGUUCUUGAUUCUUGUUCUAUCUGGUUUUUGGUUAAAUGCUGUACAUUUGACGUGUUUCUUUCAACUAUUUGGGAAUAAUACUGUUUUCCAUCGAAUGCUUCGAGGGAUGUUUAUUGAAGUUGGGGAAGAAACCAGACUAGUGGAGGAUUGAUAUUGUUAGAAA